AAUGGCCGCGGUACUUUGACCGUGCUAAGGUAGCGCAAUAGAUUGGCUUUUAAUUGGAGUCAGGUAUGAAUGGAGUCGUAGUUUAGCUGUCUCUAUUUAAUUUGAUUGAAAUUACUAUUUAGGUGCAAAAGCCUAAUAGAAGGAGGACGAGAAGACCCUUAGAGUUUUACUUAAUUUAGUUUACUUUAAGCAGUUUAGUUGGGGCAACUUGGGAGCAGAAUCUCCUUUUAAAAUAAGCCGAUAUUUAUAAGAAAAAUUAAACUACCUUAGGGAUAACAGCAUAAUUUAUUAAAUAAGUUUGUGACCUCGAUGUUGGACUAGGAAGCUAUAAGGUU
RNAcentral lists this ribosomal RNA (335 nucleotides) under Hallaxa indecora. RNAcentral describes it as "partial 16S ribosomal RNA". It matches the Rfam family "Archaeal large subunit ribosomal RNA", at positions 2003 to 2641 of the family's 2987-position model. The record is from RNAcentral. Lineage: Eukaryota; Metazoa; Mollusca; Gastropoda; Nudibranchia; Actinocyclidae.